AUACGGAGGGUGCAAGCGUUACUCGGAAUCACUGGGCGUAAAGCGCGCGCAGGCGGUCUUUUAAGUUGGAUGUGAAAGCCUACGGCUCAACCGUAGAACUGCAUCCAAAACUAUUAGACUAGAGUGUGAGAGAGGAAGAUGGAAUUAGUUGUGUAGGGGUAAAAUCCGUAGAGAUAACUAGGAAUACCAAAAGCGAAGGCAAUCUUCUGGAACACUACUGACGCUGAGGCGCGAAAGCGUGGGGAGCAAACAGAAGUAGAAACCCUAGUAGUCC
This 274-nucleotide ribosomal RNA is filed under the name uncultured bacterium. RNAcentral describes it as "partial 16S ribosomal RNA". It matches the Rfam family "Bacterial small subunit ribosomal RNA", at positions 523 to 796 of the family's 1533-position model. The record is from RNAcentral.